RNAcentral lists this ribosomal RNA (433 nucleotides) under uncultured bacterium. RNAcentral's name for it is "partial 16S ribosomal RNA". It matches the Rfam family "Bacterial small subunit ribosomal RNA", at positions 29 to 507 of the family's 1533-position model. The record is from RNAcentral.
AACGAACGCUGGCGGCAUGCCUAACACAUGCAAGUCGAACGAGACCGUCGGGGCUAGUGGCGCACGGGUGCGUAACGCGUGGGAAUCUGCCCUUGGGUUCGGAAUAACAGUUGGAAACGACUGCUAAUACCGGAUGAUGACGUAAGUCCAAAGAUUUAUCGCCCAGGGAUGAGCCCGCGUAGGAUUAGCUAGUUGGUGGGGUAAAGGCCUACCAAGGCGACGAUCCUUAGCUGGUCUGAGAGGAUGAUCAGCCACACUGGGACAGAGACACGGCCCAGACUCCUACGGGAGGCAGCAGUGGGGAAUAUUGGACAAUGGGCGAAAGCCUGAUCCAGCAAUGCCGCGGGAGUGAUGAAGGCCUUAGGGUUGUAAAGCUCUUUUACCCGGGAUGAUAAUGACAGUACCGGGAGAAUAAGCCCCGGCUAACUCCGUG